UGGGGAAUCUUGCGCAAUGGGCGAAAGCCUGACGCAGCAACGCCGCGUGAGUGAUGAAGGCCUUCGGGUCGUAAAGCUCUUUCGGAAGGGACGAAACCGAUCCGGGAUAACAAACCGGGUCGCUGACGGUACCUUAAGAAGAAGCACCGGCUAACUCUGUGCCAGCAGCCGCGGUAAUACAGAGGGUGCAAGCGUCGUUCGGAAUUAUUGGGCGUAAAGCGCGUGUAGGCGGCCAAGCAUGUCGGGUGUGAAAGCCCUGGGCUUAACCCAGGAAGUGCGCCCGAAACUACUUGGCUUGAGUGUCGGAGAGGAUGGCGGAACUCCCGGUGUAGAGGUGAAAUUCGUAGAUAUCGGGAAGAACACCAGUGGCGAAGGCGGCCAUCUGGACGACAACUGACGCUGAGACGCGAAAGCGUGGGGAGCAAACAGGAUUAGAUACCCUGGUAGUCCACGCCGUAAGCGAUGGGCACUAGAUGUCGUGGGUGUUGACCCCCGCGGUGUCGAAGCUAACGCAUUAAGUGCCCCGCCUGGGAAGUACGGCCGCAAGGCUA
This 551-nucleotide ribosomal RNA is filed under the name uncultured bacterium. Its description in RNAcentral is "bacterial SSU rRNA". It matches the Rfam family "Bacterial small subunit ribosomal RNA", at positions 355 to 896 of the family's 1533-position model. The record is from RNAcentral.